AUUGAACGCUGGCGGCAGGCUUAACACAUGCAAGUCGAGCGGAGAUGAGGUGCUUGCACCUUAUCUUAGCGGCGGACGGGUGAGUAAUGCUUAGGAAUCUGCCUAUUAGUGGGGGACAACAUUCCGAAAGGAAUGCUAAUACCGCAUACGUCCUACGGGAGAAAGCAGGGGAUCUUCGGACCUUGCGCUAAUAGAUGAGCCUAAGUCGGAUUAGCUAGUUGGUGGGGUAAAGGCCUACCAAGGCGACGAUCUGUAGCGGGUCUGAGAGGAUGAGCAGCCACACUGGGACUGAGACACGGCCCAGACUCCUACGGGAGGCAGCAGUGGGGAAUAUUGGACAAUGGGGGAAACCCUGAUCCAGCCAUGCCGCGUGUGUGAAGAAGGCCUUAUGGUUGUAAAGCACUUUAAGCGAGGAGGAGGCUACUGAGACUAAUACUCUUGGAUAGUGGACGUUACUCGCAGAAUAAGCACCGGCUAACUCUGUGCCAGCCGCCGCAGUAA
RNAcentral lists this ribosomal RNA (501 nucleotides) under uncultured bacterium. Its description in RNAcentral is "partial 16S ribosomal RNA". It matches the Rfam family "Bacterial small subunit ribosomal RNA", at positions 30 to 523 of the family's 1533-position model. The record is from RNAcentral.